GUCCACGCCGUAAACGAUGGAUACUAGCUGUUGGAGGUAUCGACCCCUUCAGUAGCGAAGCUAACGCGUUAAGUAUCCCGCCUGUGGAGUACGGUCGCAAGACUAAAACAUAAAGGAAUUGACGGGGACCCGCACAAGCGGUGGAGCGUGUUCUUUAAUUCGAUGCUAAACGAAGAACCUUACCAGGGCUUGACAUCCCUUAAAAUUUUGUCGAAAGACGAGAGUGCUUUAUUGAAUAAGGUGACAGGUGAUGCAUGGCCGUCGU
This 265-nucleotide ribosomal RNA is filed under the name uncultured bacterium. RNAcentral's name for it is "partial 16S ribosomal RNA". It matches the Rfam family "Bacterial small subunit ribosomal RNA", at positions 793 to 1055 of the family's 1533-position model. The record is from RNAcentral.